This 30-nucleotide non-coding RNA is filed under the name Homo sapiens (human). The record is from RNAcentral. Lineage: Eukaryota; Metazoa; Chordata; Mammalia; Primates; Hominidae.
UGAAAAUGCUGUUGGGCUAUGAACGUUUUC